Lotus japonicus is the source of this 152-nucleotide long non-coding RNA. RefSeq lists it as uncharacterized. The transcript has 3 exons. The record is from RefSeq and is a predicted model, not a curated record. Lineage: Eukaryota; Viridiplantae; Streptophyta; Magnoliopsida; Fabales; Fabaceae.
AUUUCAAAAAACCAAUACCACUGUGAUGAAUAUGGCAUCUGCAGAAUUGGAGGCAAGGAUAACUUCUUCCAUUGCAAGAGAUGUGAGGGGAGAUACAGCGGAUCAAAGCAGCAAAUCCUCAGAUCCCACAUCGAGAAGCUUUCAGUGCUGCA